UGAAUCAGUUUAUUCAGAAUCUGAAGAAUAUGAAUGUUUUCUUGCAGAUUUAUUUACAGAUGAGCAGAGGCCAGAGUCACCAGAUUCUGCUAGCAGUGGUAGACCCUUGUCUCCAGACUCACCAAUACCACAGUUCUCAGCUUUUCUGUUUGACGUAGUGCCAGUGAUAGUCCACAGAUCAUCUUCUCUAGAGUCUCUGGCAUCAGAUACAGAUUAUGAGUUAAAUGUUCUCACGGAUGCCAUGUCUUUUCAAAGACCAUCAUCACCUGAUUCAGUGGCUUCAAUAGAUGAAGGAAGACCAUUAUCACCUGACUCGCCAGUUCCAGAAUUUAGAUUAUCAAUGGCCGAGAAUACACUUCCAGCCCUAGGAUAUAGAUCAUGUUCCCCUGAAUCAGUGUGUUCAGAAUAUGAAGAAUAUGAAUGUUUUCUUGAAGAUUUAUUCACAGAUGAGCAAAGACCAGAGUCACCAGAUUCUGCUAGCAGUGGUAGACCUUUGCCUCCAGAUUCACCAAUACCACAGUUCUCAGCUUUGCUGUUUGAUGUCGUACCAGCAAUAGGCCACAGAUCAUCUUCUCUAGAGUCUUUGGCAUCAGAUACAGAUUAUGAGUUAAAUGUUCUCACAGAUGUCGUGUCUUAUCAUAGAUCACCAUCAGCUGAUUCAGUGGUAUCAAUCGAUGAGGGAAGACCAUUAUCACCUGACUCACCAAUUCCAGAAUUCAGAUUACCAAUGGCAGAGAAUACACUUUCAGCCUUAGGAUAUAGAUCCUGUUCCCCUGAAUCAGCUUGUUCAGAAUCUGAAGAAUAUGAAUAUUGUCUUGGAGAUUUAUUCACAGUUGAGCAAAGACCUGAGUCACCAGAUUCAUUUGUAUCAGAAGUUGAGGACAGACCCCUUUCCCCAGAUUCUAUCCCUGAAUACAGGCCUAUGUCACCUGAGUAUGUGGCCUUAUUGUCAGAUAUUAGAGGGUAUUCACCAGAUUCUGCUAGCAGUGGUAGACCUUUGUCUCCAGAUUCACCAGUACCACAGUUCUCAGCUUUGCUGUUUGACAUUGUGCCAGCAGUAGGCCACAGAUCAUCUUCUGUAGAGUCUCUGGCAUCAGAUACAGAUUACGAGUUGGGAGUUCUCGCAGGUACAGCUU
RNAcentral lists this long non-coding RNA (1136 nucleotides) under Astyanax mexicanus (Mexican tetra). RNAcentral describes it as "lncRNA (ENSAMXG00005001616.1)". The record is from RNAcentral. Lineage: Eukaryota; Metazoa; Chordata; Actinopteri; Characiformes; Acestrorhamphidae.